CAAGGCCUUGGUCCUGAGCCUAGCAUUGCCUACCAGCUAUGAUCAUACAUGCAAGUAUCCGCACUCCAGUGAGUAAGCCAUCGCGAACUCAAACAGCUCGCGUCGAGCAGGCAUCAGGCACACGCACGCAGCCCAUGACGCCAAGCAAACCAUGCCACAUCCACACGGACCCCAGCAGUAACAAACAUUGAGCAAUAAAUGUAAAUUUGACUCAGCAAUAGCACCGAACAAGCCGGCAAAUUUCGUGCCAGCCGCCGCGGUUACACGAAACGGCCAAAGAUAAUGCAACCUCGGCGUAAAUAGUGACUAGAUCAGCCCUACAGCCCAAAGAAGCAAGCCGCCCUUGGCAGUGAAAUGCGCAUGGGCCAAAAACACCACAUUCUUUGCCGAACGGACACAUUGACCACACGAAAACCAGGACACAAACUAGGAUUAGAUACCCUACUAUGCCUGGACGUAAACACCGACGCCUAAUAAAACGGAGGCGCCCGCCAGAGAACUACAAGCGAAAAGCUUAAAACUCAAAGGACUUGGCGGUGUCCCGCCACAGACUAGAGGAGCCUGUCCAAUAACCCGAUGCCACCCGAUACACCCAACCGCCUAUUGCAAAGCACAGCCUAUAUACCGCCGUCUCCAGCCCGCCUUAUGAAAGCAAAACAGCGGGCACAAUUGUCUAACGCACAAGCACGACAGGUCGAGGUGUAGCUAAUUAGGCGGACAAGAUGGGCUACAUUCUCCCCCAGGGAGCACAACGAAUAACAAAAUGAAACCUUUUGCUUGAAGGAGGAUUUAGAAGUAAAAUGACAAAGACUACUCAUUUUAACCCUGCUCCGGGACACGCACACACCGCCCGUCACCCUCUUCGACGCACCACAAACCAUACAUAAACACACACCUGCACCAGAGAAGAGAUAAGUCGUAACAUGGUAAGUGUACUGGAAAGUGCACUUGGACCUCA
RNAcentral lists this ribosomal RNA (958 nucleotides) under Bipes canaliculatus. RNAcentral's name for it is "small subunit ribosomal RNA". It matches the Rfam family "Bacterial small subunit ribosomal RNA". Lineage: Eukaryota; Metazoa; Chordata; Lepidosauria; Squamata; Bipedidae. The record is from RNAcentral.